This 446-nucleotide ribosomal RNA is filed under the name uncultured bacterium. RNAcentral describes it as "partial 16S ribosomal RNA". It matches the Rfam family "Bacterial small subunit ribosomal RNA", at positions 338 to 795 of the family's 1533-position model. The record is from RNAcentral.
CCUACGGGUGGCAGCAGUCGAGAAUCAUGCACAAUGGGGGAAACCCUGAUGGAGCGACGCCGCGUGGGGGAAUGAAGGUCUCCGGAUUGUAAACCCCUGUCAUGUGGGAGCAAAUUAAAAAGAUAGUACCACAAGAGGAAGAGACGGCUAACUCUGUGCCAGCAGCCGCGGUAAUACAGAGGUCUCAAGCGUUGUUCGGAAUCACUGGGCGUAAAGCGUGCGUAGGCUGUUUCGUAAGUCGUGUGUGAAAGGCGCGGGCUCAACCCGCGGACGGCACAUGAUACUGCGAGACUAGAGUAAGGGAGGGGGAACCGGAAUUCUCGGUGUAGCAGUGAAAUGCGUAGAUAUCGAGAGGAACACUCGUGGCGAAGGCGGGUUCCUGGACAUUAACUGACGCUGAGGCACGAAGGCCAGGGGAGCGAAAGGGAUUAGAUACCCCUGUAGUC